Molecule: long non-coding RNA, 17076 nt
Filed under: Glycine max (soybean)
Lineage: Eukaryota; Viridiplantae; Streptophyta; Magnoliopsida; Fabales; Fabaceae
Description: long non-coding RNA (GMAX_LNC003754)
Source: RNAcentral
GGUUCGAAGCUUUGGCGAGGGUUUGGAGUGCAACGGCGAUGUUUUGCGUGCUGUGGCGGGUGAGUUCGAGGGAGAGGAGGUGAGGGGGGAGGAAGGGGGUGUUGAAGGGGAGUGCGGCGAGGGGAACGCGGUGGAACGUGAUGGAGGGAGUGGUGGCGGUGACGGUGGCGAUGUAUUGAGCAUUAGAGUCGCAGGCUAAGGUGGUGGUGGUGGUGGAAGGGGUGGUGGGAGGAGUGAGGAUGAGAAUAGUGAUGGAAAGUGAAGGGUGGUGGGUCAGUAUGAGUUUUCCCAACUCCACCAUGGAAACUAGGUGUCCCCUACCAAGAUUAGGGUAUAGAACAAUGGUGUCUUUCAUGUUGGAGAAGAGGUAUGAGUUUUUGAAAUGGAAUUGGAUCUAGUUCCAACAAAGAUGCUUGCUCUAUUUAUGGACAGUGAGCCACCCUACUGUUAUUUUUUUUUUUUUUAAGGAAAAUGUCUGGUGAGCACCGAUUGAUCUAUGAUACAUCUAAGGAUAUCGAAGAAAAAAAAAUAUAGAGAGAUUUAAUAAAAUUUAUGGUGCAAUAAGAAGAAAGACAAAAAAAGAAAAUAUUACUCAUUUUUUGGACUAACUUUGAUGACUUCAUAUUAUAAAGAGAAUAUUCUUAUUUCUUACCAGUAGACACCAAGUAGUGAGUAUUAGAUGGUUUGGGAUUAUGAUUCUUUCUGCAUGAUAUAUUAGUUAAAAUUGUUUCUAAUUACUUCUCAUAAAUUAAAAUUUUGAAUAUAUUAUCUUUAUCUUUCAAUGUAAGAAUUUUUUUUUUUGAAAACAAAUUGUUUAUCUCUAUUUAUAAUUUUUUUUUAGUUGUCUCUUGCAUUAGUUUUCUUUUUAACGAAAUAUUCUUAAUUAUUUUACAUAAAUAUUAUAAAUUAAUAAGAUAACUAAAAAAUUGACUAAUAUGUUUAGAUUAAAUUUAUAAUAAGAAAUAAUCGAUUUUUUUUUUAUGAUAAAGACAAAACAACACUAUUAUUUCAAGGUAUCACAGUGAUCUUGAGGGGUAGAAGUGAUUCUUGAAAUCUUGAAACUAUUUAAAUUUAAGGAUAAUUAAAUAUAUAUAUAUAUAUAUAUAUAAAUUAUUAACAAAUUAAAUGUUAUUAACUAAUUAGUAAUUAGUUUUCUUAAUUCUUAAUAUGUAUGAAUAAGUUAAAAGUGUUUUAUAUGUGUUUAAGGAUGAAUAUAGUAUUUCAUAGAUAUUGGUUGGGAUUAUAAACACACAAUAGUUUCAAAUAAUUUCUUGACAAUCAUAACACUUAUUUAAUAUCUAUGAGAAACAUAAAAAUAUGGUAAGUGAUAUAAUAAGAAAAUAAAAUAAUAAGUAUUAAUAAAGUAUAUAAGAUUAGAACGUGUCUAAAUAUAUAAUUUUUCUUAUAUUAUUUAAUGAGAUAAUUGUUUAUAUAUAUUAUAAUUAUUUUUUGUUCUUUCAGAAUGAGAAAAAUAUAAGAGGAAAAUAUAAGAGGAGUGAUCCACACGCAUUUAUUUUAUUUUUAAUAAAUUUUAAAUAAAAAAAAUAUGGUGUUAGUAUUUUUCAAAUGUAUUUAGAAGUGAAGAACAAGAAGAGGAAAUCUUACUUUUUGAUCUUUAUUUAACAAGGGAUUUAUUGGUUCAACUUAUUACAUAUAUGCAUCAAGUUGGUUUAGAAGUCAAGAACAAGAAGAGAAAAUCUUACUUUUUGAUCUUUAUUUAACAAGUGAGUUAUUGGUUUAACUGAUUAUAUAUAUGCAUUUUAAGUUGCUCUAAUACUGUUUAUUGUGAUAAUGAAGAACUGUAGUGUCAUGAGACAUAUGGUUCCAAUGCAAUCAAUUGAUUUUAUAAUGCAUAUACAUUCACUAUUACACGAAAGUUAUUCUACCCCACCGUUUAUUGCAUCGGUUCAAUUCAUUAAGAAUCGGUGUAAAAUAAAAUACAUUGACAUUUUGUAAAUUAAAACAAAAAAUAUUACACCAACUUUAUAUAAAUCAAUACAAAUUAAAUUUAUAUAUUUUAAGUAUAUAUAUUAAUUGCUAUAGAGCCUUUUAAAGAAUAUAUAAUAAUCUAAAUAUAAAGUAAACUUUAUAUUUUAACAUAAACAAAUAUUAAUCAAUAUCCUUAUAAUAUUGAUUAAAAAUUAAUUUUUUUUAUUAAAAUACAUAAAAUUAUAUGAUACAUAACUUUUUUUCUACAUUCUCCUGUAAUUCUCAUAAUAAUUUUUUCUUUUAAUUCUUUAAUCAAUACUUAAAAAAAACACUUAUUACUAAGACCCUUGACCAUAUGAAAGCAGGAAGCUGUCGCACACACGAGACGUCCCUUAAGGAAGGGGCCGGGACAAUUUAACUUAAUGACAUUAAGUUAAAUACACUUUUUUUGGUUGAAUGAUUAAGUUAAAUACACUACAUUGUCAAUGUUAAGAUAUAAUAAGAAAAAAUAUAAUAUAAUAUUCAUAGUUUUCAAGAAAUCUCGAGAAAGUAUUAUUUUCUCUAUAAAACAAGAUAAUGACUGAUUGACUGUUGUCAUUUGUCUAGAAUUCAGGUACGUUGUUUAUUCAUGUUAAGUUUUCUUCUCAUUGUGGACACUGAUAAAACGUGUGGAUGUGAUGACGGGUUUGUGUUUUUCUACUCUGAUAAGAACUAUUUUAAAAUAUUUCUAUAUGCAUAAUUAAGUAUUUUAUAAUUUCAUACAUAUUAUUUAAUACUUAAUAUUUAUUUACUUUAUACAUAUUCCUAUUUUAUCCCAUUAGUGAAGUGUAAAAAUAAUAAAAUAAGGUAAUCUCACUAUAUAUUAUAAAAUUUUUAUUCAACAUAUUAUUUAAUAUAAAUUUAUAAUAAUUUUGACUUGUAAAUUAAAAUUAUAUUAUCGAUUAAGAUGUUAAAUAUUAAAUAUUAGAAUUCAAAUUAUCAUAAUUUUUAAAAUAAAUAUUCUUUUACUAAUUUUAAGAAAAGUAAUAACAUGACAAAAAUUAUUUUUUAUAAUUUAGAUAAAAUUAUACUUUUUAUAAUUUGUAAAAUUCAAAAAUAAAUUAAAGUUACAUUUAUAAAAUUAUACAUAAUUUUUAUAAAAUGAUGAUUUUGCCAUUUCAACCUAAUUUAUAUCUUAUACUAUUAUCAUCUAAUUCAUGUCAAAUACGAGACAGGAUAACACAAUAAUACCAUUGGGCCACAAUAAUAGGUUUAUUGUACACCAAACAUUAGACAAGUAAAGUUCAUUCUCAUCUUAUCAUAUUCUACUCAAAUUAUAUCCUAAUUACCAAAUAAGCUGUAAGUUUUUUGGGUAUUACUCUUUAACUAAAAGUUAAGUUUUCAUAAGUGCUUUAGUAAUUAAAAUUAUAUUUUUUAUAAUGUGUUCUCAUUUUUAAUAUUAUUUUUAUUUACAAAAUUUCUAUUUAUUUAUUCCUUAAUUAUUAUCUUUAAAAUAUAUUAAACUAAAAUUAUGAUUUUAGCUCAAUAACUCAUUCAAAUAAAUAUCAAUAAAUUAAAGUACGAUAAUGAUUAUCAAAAUAAAAGUUUAAUUUUAUGUUUAAAAAUAUUUUUUUCAAAUAUAUUUGUGAGACUCCAACUUGCACGUCCCUCUCCUCGUCGUGUAUAACAGUUCUUCAUAGCUGGAAAUAAUUAUUGAUGGAUUGAUGAUCCCAAAAUAGAAUGCAUGAUUGGGGCGGGUCUGUAAGAAGAGCUUCUUCUAGAACGAACCUUUAUGACGAACGAGUAAUCAAGAUUAUCUUUAUUGGAAGAUCUUCUCGAACGCAUGUUUAAGAUUACGUGAAUGUGGUACACAACAUAACAUAUAUAUGGAAAGAAAUUGACCUUUUAAAUAGAUUUAAGAGACUAUUUUCUGAAUUUUGAUAUUCAUUCAAAAUAAAGAAAUAAUAGCCAAGCACCAAUUGCCAUUUUUAAUAUAUAUUUUUUAUUAUUAAAAAAUGAUAUAAAUUUUAUUUAAUAAUUAAUAAAGAAUAUAUUAUCAAGGUGUCAAAUAUAAUAUCAGUUAAUAUUUCUAUUAAGCCUAUUUAAGAAAGUAGUUUAUAUCUAUAUUAAAUAAAGAAAUAAUUGUCAGAAUUUCAAUGAGGAGAGGAGCAUGGACAGGAAAUGUUGUAGAGAAUCAGAGUCAUAUAUAGAAUUAUUGAAGAAUCACUUGAGGCUCUGCAGUACUGUAAUGGCAGUGAAGUUAACGUGAAGGAAAUUGCUUAAGUGGAGGUUGGAUUGUUAGAUACGAUUAUUAUCUUAAUCAAGUUGUUGGAUUGAUAUUUUAAUCUAUACAUGCUGAUUGUACUAUAAACCUUAUGUAAUUGUCACUUUUUCUUUUAUGGGGGCGUCAGAGUGGGUUAGGGAAUUAGAAUUGGACUUGUGUCAUAUCCAAAGCCAGUGUUAAUAAAAUUCUUUUUGGGCUGCUAAAAAAAUUUAAAGAAUAAUUAAUUGCGCAAAUUAUGUAUCACUGAUAGUAAAAAAGUAUGUGUAAUUAUUUAAAAAAAGAGUAUUAAUAUAUAAAAAUAAUACAUAAAAAUAGGUGUAAUAUUUAAAUUAAAUAUAAAUAGAUCGUUUUGUGAAAAAAGUAAUUAUUUAUUAAUUAAAUUGUCUUUUCUAAGACGUGUCCAGUUUCGGUUGAGAGAAUAACUUAAAUAUUACUAUUUAUCAUUCUACAAGAGCAUAAACACGAGGCAUUAAGAAAAAAAAUAUUUCAACCGUGCAAGAGUCUCGAGUCAAAAAAGAGUGGCAACCUUUUUCAUCUGAAUUAUUGUGAGACAUUGUACAGAUGCCCACGGCAGUUGGGACCCUAAACAACACUUAUUAAUUAAAAAACCACAAAGUUAAUGAACUUUUUGAUUGGUUUAAUUUGUAUGAUGUUAAAAGGAUUUAGGGGUAUAGUAGGGUACUACCAACAGGAAUUGGUUUUAGUCGAAAAGGCUAAUCUCUCCAAAUGUGGCAAAUUAUAAUUUAAAUUCUUAUUGAAAAAGUUGUCUAUAUUUAGUGUACAACAUUCUCUCAAAUAGAACUACAUUGAAAAAACAUACAUGUGGGGGAGAAAAGAAAAAGAAUUUGGGACAUGCAAGGUUACUGAGCAGCUUAACAUUUAGUUCUUGCAAGCUGAUAACUCUCCCAUGUGUGAUAUCCUUUUUAACUAAACCCUUGUUUCUCUUCUCAACCACGAGUGCUGCUCUAAGUGAGGAAGAUAUCAUAAGUGAUAGGAAAGGCUUCAGAGCCUAACUCUUUAGUUGCUUUUCCUGCUAAAUCCUAGCUUCUUUUCUUUCUCCUUCAUCUUUUGAUUACUGAACUAUGAUUGCAUACUCAUCAGAUCCUAGCUUGAAAAUAAUUCAGUGGCCAUCGUUUCGGCUUGCAAGCAAGGUCUGUGUGAGAUUUAUUUUUUCAUAUGCAUGUGUUUGUUACCAGUUCAUAUAAUUGACUUGUUGCCUACAUUUGCAGAUUCCCUUAGCACUGGAUAUGGCAGCUCAAUUUCCAGGAAAGGACUCUGAUCUUUGGAGGCGCAUAUGUGCAGAUGAAUGUGUGAAGUGUGUUGUGAUUGAAUGCUAUGACUUUUAAAAAUGUCCUGAAUGCUUUGGUAGUAGGAGAAGCUGAAAAAUGGUAGCUUUCAGUAUCUUUUCCUGUUCAUGUUUGUCUAUUUCAGUUUACAGUUCAUACUAGAAUCAUUAUAAAUGUAAGAAUAUAAAUAGCCUUAGCCAUGUUUCUUUUGGGUAGCAAAACUAUGAUCCAAUUCUAUUAACAUUCUAUCCAGCUUUCUUUUCCCAUGUGUUUUUUAUUUAUUUAUUUUAUAUGCAGACUCCAAAUUUGGCUCUUGCUGUUUCUAUUUCAUGAAAAGCAAGUAGCGUUGUUUUAUGUGCAUAUACUAUUCAUUUAUUUUUAUCUAUUUAUAUUGUAAAUGUCUGUCUGGACUCAGGAUUACUGAACUCAAAAUAAAUAAAAAGAACAUAUGGUUAACUUCAUUAACUCAAAAUUGCAUACUGCAUUAUAUUGGUCACCCAAAUUUUGUGUCAGCUGCUUGUGUUGUUUUUCUUAAUUAACGAAUAAAAUUUAAGUUAUAGACAUUUCAUUAAAAUUAUGUCAUCAGUCAUUAUCAUUAGUUCUGAAUUCAUUGUAAUGGAACAGGACAAUCUCUGUCAUCAUUAAGGAAUUUGAAAACAGCAUCUCUAAGAAUACACUUGUUGGAAAUUUUUGAAUGGGGUUUUUGCCUUCCCUUUGUAAGAAGUUUGUGGAGAUUGUGGAAAUCUUGGUGAGUCAUUUAAAGGAAAACUAAUCAUAUAUUACCUUUGUAGUCUUAAUGGGUUCUUGUCUCUAACUAUCCUAUUUAGAAGCUUAGACAUUCCUUUCUGGUUACAGAAAGAUGCAGAUUCAUCCAAACAAGGUAUUAUUGUUGAAGAUGAAGACCUAGAGUUCGUUCCUGGCCAAUUUAAUUACUGUUAUUUUGAUGAUUAAUUAACUGUUUUCAAGUUUAACUACCUCUGCUAUGAAUGCCAAAUUAAAAUUGCUAUCAUAAUCUAAAUUCCAAGUUUGCACCAUGCUCAGUAUUCUUAUUCUUAUUUCCAGAUUUGGAUACAACUGUACUCGAUCUAAAUUAGUUGCAUCAUGGAUCCUUUUGAUUAUGUGCUUCACUCGUUUUGAAUUUCAUCAUCAUGCUUAUGUCAGGUGGUUUUAUUAUAGUAUUCAUGUCAUUUGUGAAUCUGAUUGUAUAUAUCUUUUCAUGUCAUUUACCAUGCUUGUCAAGAUUCUAAUAAGAGAAAAAAGGAUGGCUCAAUAUCGUGCUCUCUAAGGAAGAACAGAAGAUCUUCUAUUGCUGGUGAGGAGGAUAAAGGUGGUAAAACCUCAAGGCAGCUGAGAAAACAAGCAGCUCGUAAACCUGCAAACAGUUCAUUCAAUGAGGAUGUUGAAGAUUUGGAAGGAACUAACCUGAACUUAUUAUUGGACCAUGGAAUGUUUUAUGCUUCCAACUCAUUUUUUGACUAUGCCAAGAACAGAAGGAUAUUAUGGGGAUGGUCAAAGGAGUGUGAAACCACACAAGAUGAUUAUGAGAAAGGAUGGGCUGGUCUACAGGUAUUUUAUCUCCAUGUUGGGUAUUUUCUUUUAAUUAUUUCAGCACCCUCCAUGUUAAAAAUUGUUUUAGGACCAUAUUAUCAUCAUAAAGUGAUCUACAUAUUUUGAGAUAGUGUGUUGUUUGGCUAUGUAGAGUAUUCCAAGGCAAGUUUGGCUUCAUAAAAGUGGGAAGUGGUUGAUGCAGUGGCCAAUUGAAGAGGUAGAAAAACUACAUGACAAACAAGUUAGCAUAAUGGGAGAGAAACUGGUUAGUGAAUCAACUAUUGAAGUCUCUGGUAUCCCUGCAUCACAAGUAAGUAAACUGGUGCUGCAUUUUCUUACAUUCUUUUUUUUAUGAACUUUAUAACAUAGGACAACAUCAAUGAGAUUUUUCUUUACAACUUAACCUUUCAAGGUCGAUGUAGAAGUGUGGUUUGAGCUACCUGAACUAGAGAAUAUGGAGUGGCUAAAUGAAAGUGAAGUUGAUCCCCACUUGCUGUGUAGUGAAGAGUAUGCAUCAAGAAGUGGCAUAAUAGGUAUGUGGCCGCUGGUUGAUCUCUUGCAUUGGAUACAACUAUUGGUAUGUGGCCGCUGGUUGAUCAUUGGUGCCAGUUCUUGCAGGUAAUAUACUUGAUUAUUAUUUAUUUACACAUUUUUAACUUUCUCGAGUUAUGUUGUGAAGCUUUCUUAUUAGGAUGGCUUUCAGAGGGAUCUGCUAAUACUCGAUCAUUUUACUCAAAUUGAUAAAUUUUGAUACUACAUACUCAGGCUCGGCAUAACAAAGCAAUAUCUAGGGACACAUGGUCUCAGCUUUUGGAGUUUGCAAAGGUAAAAUAAUAAACUAUUAAUCCUUACCGUAAACAUAGUCAAUGGUGCCCUCAUAAUGUGAAUGAACACUUCCUGUCUUCAUAGGGAUUUAUUGUUGCAUGAAUAUAUCUAUAUCUAUGCUUGAUGUCUGGCUAUCUGUCUUUUAUUCUGUUUGUCUCAUUUUGUCUGCGUAUGAUCAUCUUGCACUUGGUGGCUAGUUAUAGUAUCCAAGCAACUUUCAUUUUAAAUCAUUAAGGUCUUCUUUCUAUCUUGACUGAUGGGGGAUCUGAAGACCGAAAAGGAUUAAGCGAUGAAGCCAUGGAGUGGAAUCAGAUCCAAGAAAAGGAUUAAGGUUUUCUUAUUUUUACUUUAUUAAUAUUGUUUUAUUUGCAGGUGAAAAGCUGCUUAAGACCAACUGUAAGAUAUAUGUGUCCUCAAUGGAGUUGGGAUUUUUUCUGCAUAAAUCAUUUAUUUAUGUUAUGCAGGCCCUUUCUAUACAUAGUUGAAUUUAUAGUUUAAUUUGGUUGGUUGAGAAUGUGGAAGUCUAUUUUUGGUUGCUUUUGCAGGGGAAUGAAAAUGUCUUUGUUGGUGAAGGGUAGGUGAGAGAAAUGAAAGGUGUGUUGGGUUGAAUAGGUAUGGGAUCAAUGAGCAACAACAACGCACGAAAGGUGGUGUGUGUGACGGGUGCUUCUAUAUUAACCUUUUCUAUUAUUAGAAAUUUUCUUUUUUCUAUUAUUUUAUUAUAUUUUUAUUUUUAUUUAAAAAAACAUUUUAAAAUGAUUUUUUGAAAAAUCACCUUAGAGAAACACAUUUUUCUAAGAUGGUUUUUUUGAAACCAUCUUUAAAAAUAGACUAUUAACAUUAUUUAUAUGUUGUUUAGAAUUGUCAUUGUACGUCUUUUUUGUUGUAAUGAAUUUUAAAUAAAAAUAAGAAUAUAUAAGUGAGGGACAACCUUCACCCGUUGAGCUAGUUUUUGGGGUUCAGUUAGGUCUCUCAUAUUAUUCAUUUUAAGAUGGUAUGUUGAAAAUAAUCUAAGUCUCACAUAUAUUAAAAGUAAUCACACAUUAGAAUAUAUAAGUGAGCGAAACAUUGACGGAGAGCAUGAAAAAUAAGUAUUGAUUAUUUUAUCAAUUAUUAUUAAUUUUUAUCCUAUUAAACAUAUAACUUAGUCAUUUAUAAUUUAUUAUGUUCUAAUUUCUUAUAAUUUUAUAUUAUUUUAUUACUCAGAAUGAUACAUAAUAUUAAACAUAGCGGCCGCCAAAGUGGCUUGUUGUUCAGGACCUGUAGGGGCCAGUUAUAUUCAGAGGGCGGUGGUGGGCCGUGAUGGGAACGGAGAAGGGAGCAAUGGAAGACUGGGUGGAUAUGUGCGUCCGGUGGGAGAUUGAGUCGAUAGGCGACCAGACCAAUGCGUUCAACAAUUUGAAAUGGGCCAAAGAAGCGCUUAGAGAGUUUUGGGUGGUACGGUCCGGUGACCGACGUCUGUCGUCUUGGGCGCAGCUUGACAUAUACCCAUUGCCCCUAUUCGAAGGUGAUAUCAUCGCAUUUGACAUCAACGUACCUCUUCAUAGCAUCUUGGGCCUUCUUUAAGCGUUGCUUAAGUUUGGAGUGCAAUUGUUGACGAGACUCAAGCAAGGUUUGGACAACUUCGUUAUUCGUCAUGCCCGUGACAUAAUCGAGGAUUGUAGGUGGUGGCUUACCGUAGAUGAUCUCAAAUGGAGUCAUGCCAAAGCUCGAGUGAAGUGAGUAUUGUAACUCCACUCUGCAAGGGAUAGAUACUGGUGCCAUGUGGAUGGUUGAUCAUGAACGAAGCAGCGGAGGUAUUGCUCAAGUAUUCGGUUCAUCACCUUCGUCUGGCCAUCGGACUGAGGGUGGUACGUCGUGCUGAGUCGCAAUCGUGUGCCGCUUAAUCGGAAUAACUCCUUCCAGAACUUGCUUAAGAAGAUAGGGUCGCGGUCAGACACUAUGCUUUUAGGAAACCCAUGUUGUUUACAGACGGUGUCAAUGAAGAGGCCGGCGACCCUGAACGCUGUGAAUCCCGUGGGAAGAGCACCCAAAUGCACCCCCUUCAAGAACCUAUCUACCACAACCAUGAUGACAGUAAAUCCGUUAGAGGUUGGUAAAUGGGUGAUGAAAUCCAUUGAAAGGUCUUCCCACACGCCCUCCGGUGCCGGCAAGGGUUGCAGCAGUCCAGCUGGGCGCUUAUGGAGAUUUUUAUUCUGUUGGCAGGUAACACAUUCUUUAAUAAACCUCUUAACAUCCUAUUGAAGGUUGAGCCAGAAAAAACUUGAUGCGAGACGAUGGGUUGUUUUGGCAACACCUAAAUGGCCUCCAAGUGGGGUCGCGUGAUGCUCCGAAAUGAGGAUAUGGAGAUAAGGAUUGCUGUUAUUAAGCCAGAUGCGUCCCUUGAACAAUAUUAAUCCAUCGCCGAAAGAGUAAUCAAGGUAAGAGGUUGGGUGUUCCUGAAUGGCAUCCUUGAGUUGCUAGAAUUUCAGGUUAUCAGCGAGUGACUACUUAAUAUCAUGGAGGAAAUCAAGUUGUGGUAUGGAGAGGAUGAGGAACUGGCCCUCUGGGUUUGGAGCUCACGAAAGGGCAUCUACUACUACAUUCAUUGCGCCGGACUUGUACUGGAUGGAGUUCUCAUAGCCAAGCAGUUUCGAAAGGUAAUAAUGUUGUUUCGGCGUUUGAAUGACUUGUGUCAUUAACUCUCGGAGACUUUUGUGAUCGGUGAGGAUCGUGAAUGGCCGGCCCAGGAGGUAUUGCCUCCACUUCCUCACUGCCGUCACGACGGCGUGGAGUUCACGUAUAUACGUGGAUGCAUGAAGUAGCCGAGGUCCAAGGUGCUUACUAAAAUACGCCAAGGGGUGGCCAUUCUGCAACAGCACUGCACUAAUAGUUGUUCCAGAUGCAUCAGUUUCAACCACGAAGGGCUCGGAGAAGUUAGGUAGGGCAAGUACAGGUGCAUUGGUCAUGGCGAGUUUGAGCUGGUCGAAGGCCUGCUGAGAGUCCGGGGACCAAUCGAAGGCGUCUUUGCAAAGCAAGGUCAUGAGUGAGGUCGUGAUGGAAGCAUACCCUUUAAUAAAUUUUCUAUAAAAUCCAGUAAGCCCUUAGAAUGCACGUAGUUCUCGGACCGAAGUUGGUGGUGGCCACUGCAACAUAGCUUGGACCUUGGAGGGUUCUGGAGUAACACCCUUGCCAGACACGAUGUGGCCGAGAUAUUCAAUGGAUUCUUGAGCAAAGAGGCACUUAGAAUGCUUAAGGUAAAACUCAGCGUGUUGGAGGGCUUGAAAUAUAAUCUCCAGGUGGUAUAAAUGUGAGGAUAACGAAUCACUAUAAACCAAUAUAUCGUCAAAAAAACUCUGGCAAACCUUCGUAGGAAUGGUUGCAGGAGUUGGUUCAUAGCGGAUUGGAAUGUUGAAGGUGCAUUGCAGAGCGGAAGGUGCAUUGCAGAGCCCAAAGGGCAUCACCAAAUAUUCGAAGUGGCCAUUAUGGGUGCGGAAGGCUGUUUUCUCGAUGUCUAGUUCACUCAUCAAGAUCUGGUGGAACCCCUGUCGGAGGUCCAGCUUUGAGAACCACGAAGCAUGGCCCAAUUCGUCAAGCAAUUCAUCUAUUGUCGGAAUGGGGAAGUGGUCGCGAAUGGUGACUGAGUUUAAGGCUCUGUAGUCAACACAUAGCCGCCAAGUGGCGUCCUUCUUCUUAACCAAGAGUACGGGGGAAGAAUAAGGACUGGUACUCGAUCUGAUCAGUCUGGCGACGAGGAGGUCCGAGACUUGUCUUUCAAUCUCAUUCUUUUGGAAGUGUGGAUAGCGGUAAGGUCGAACGGAUAUUGGGGUAGUGAAGGGAUGAAGGGUGAUACGGUGAACCACCUAGCGUGGCGAAAGGAGUCGAGAUAGGGUCCGGAACACGUGCUCAUAUUGGUGAAGGAGGUGUUCCACAGAGAUGAAAGGGUGUUGGGUCGUGGUUGGGUCGGGUUGGUCCGUGGGUAGGAGGUGUAGUUGGUAUAAGGCCGAAGUGGAACCCGUUUGGAUGAAGUGCUUCAGUUCGGCCGCUGAGGCUGGUUCGGGCCCAAGAUUAACAUCUGCCUUGAGUGUGAUAUCUCGACCCAGGUGGUUAAAAUGCAUGAUGCAUUCUGCGUAGUCAGUCGUAACUGGACCCAGGUGUUUCAACCAAUCUAUCCCUAACACUGCAUCUGCACCACUUAUCUGGAGCAAGUGGAAGGAGACCACGAAGGGGUGACCUUGGAUAGUGACCUGAGUUUCAGGACAAACCUGGUCACUGGCUAACGUAGAACCGUUGCCCACCAUUACUUGGAGGGGAUGAGUAGUUUGUAGAAGAAGUUUAAGGAAUUGCGCGAUUCGUGGUUGAAGGAAGUUAUGAGUACUUCCACUAUCAAUCAGGACUGUGAGACGUGCUUUUUUAAUGGUGCCAAAGAUUCGGAAGGUUUCCGAUGAGGGUAGUCCACCAAGAGCGUGAAGACUGAUGUGUGAGCAGACCGCCUCCGGUAUCGGUUUUGGAGAGUUCCCGUGAGCUGCUGUCUGAUCAUCUUGUGGUUCAGGUUCAAUGGCCUCAUUGAUUUGUGACUGUUCGUCAGUGAUGAAGAGUAACACUCGACCCUUGCACCUGUGGUUAGCACUCCAUUUUUCAUCACAAUUAUAGCAUAAUCCUUUUUUCUCGCCGGAAAGCCAUUUCUGCCGGCGUGCGCUUCACAAAUGGUGUAGUUUUGGAUGAAGUAUUCGAAGCUUGAGGAACGAAGGGCCUGGGUUGGGGAAAGCUUCGGGGUGCCUGGUUCGUUCGAUCACGUAGCUUCUCUUCUUGAAGCUUAGCUAGGGCUGUAGCUUGGAGUAGGGAUAUUGGUUGAAGAGCCAUGACCUCACGUCGAACUUCAGGGUUUAAUCCUGAGAUAAAGCAACUUAAAAGGAAAGGAGGUGGAUGACCUACCACGCGGUUUGCUUACCUCUCAAACUCCGUUAGGUAUUCGUUCACCGUGCAUGUUUGCGUUAAUUUGAACAAUGCUCCUUUAGGAUCAUCAUAAAAUGUUGGCACAAAUCGUGAUUCAAGAGCUUGCAGAAAGCCUUCCCAGGACGUGAUAAAGUCGUUGCUGAACAUCCAUUGAUACCAGUUUAAGGCGGCGCCGUCGAGGUAUAGGGAUGCGACUGUGAUUCGUUCUUCCUCAGGUGCAUUUUGAUAUUGGAAAAGCUGCGUGAUCUUGAAGAUUCGGCCUAAUGGAUCGCGUCCAUCAAAACGCGGUAUAUCUAGUUUAACUGUGUUGCAUUGAUGGCUAUGAUGGUUUGUGGCAGGUGUGUUUGUGUGGUUGCCGGAAUCGUUGGAACGAAGGUGCUCUAGAAUGGAGUCUACCUUGCCCGCAAGGUCGUUGUAACGUUCAUUGAUAGAAGCAUGGCCAUUAGAGAGCCUCACAAUGGCUUCUUCAAGGCGAUCAGUUGUUGUUUUCCUGGUUCCGUGGUCAGCCAUGGAGAUGGAGACGGCGGAGGUCGGACCAGUUGUUAGGUGUUGCACGAAGGGAAAAGGAAGAGCACGAUGGCUCGCGGUGGAGGAAUGAAUCUAGACGUGAAGAGGGAAGGAUGCGCCCUUAUUCGAGGAAGGGAAUAACUCUUGAGUAAAACGUAUAUUUCUCAUGCCUUUAUUAUGUAGUAGCAAGGCUUCAUGGUGAAUGUGAUUCAAAGGUGUUUUGAUGAUAACAAUGAUGACAACAAAAGAUGAUGACAAAGGUGAUGAACAAAAAGCUCAAAGAUCAAAGAACAACUCAAGUGAAUCAAAGAACAUCUCAAGUGAAUCAAGAACAAGUCAAGAGUUCAAGAAUUAAGAAGAAUUCAAGACUCAAGAAGAAAGCCUAGAAUCAAGAAUCAAGAUUCAAGAUCUCAAGAAUCAAGAUCAAGAUUCAAGAAUGAAGAAAAGACUCAAUCAAGAUAAGUAUUAAAAAGUUUUUUCAAAACUUUGAAUAGUACAUGGUUUUUUGACAAAACCUUUACCAAAGAGUUUUUACUCUCUGGUAAUCGAUUACCAUAUUAUUGUAAUCGUUUACUAGUAGCAAAAUGAGUUUGAAAAAGUUUUCAAACUGAGUUUACAACGUUCCAAUUAUUUUCAAAAGGCUGUAAUCGAUUACAAUGUUUUGGUAAUCGAUUACCAAUGCUCUUGAACGUUGAAAUUCAAAUUUAAAUGUGAAGAGUCACAUCUUUUCACUCAAAAGCUUUGUGUAAUCGAUUACACUUAUUUGGUAAUCGAUUACCAGUGACUGUUUCUGAAAAAAUCAAAAGAUGUAACUCUUCAAAAAGGUUUUGACUAUUUCAAAUGGGUUUUAAGUUUUUCUAAAAGUUAUAACUCUUCUGAAUGGUCUUCUUGACAAGACAUGAAGAGUCUAUAAAAGCAAGGCUUUGUUUUACAUUUCAACGAUCAAAAAUACUUUUUGCUUUUCCAAUCAAUCCUUUACAAGCCUUGAAAUCUCUUUGAACUUCUUCUUCUUCUUUGUACCAAAAAGCUUUCUGAAGUUUUCUGGUUUUCUAAACCUUGAAAACUUGUGCUAUUCAUCCUUUUCAUUCUCUUCUCCCUUUGCCAAAAAGAAUUCGUCAAGGACUAACCGCCUGAAUUCUUUUUGUGUCUCUUUUCUCCCUUUUCCAAAAGAACAAAGGACUAACAGCCUGAAUUCUUUUGUGUCUCCCUUCUCCCUUGUCAAAGAAUUCAAAACGACACAGUCUGAGAAUUCUUUUGAUUCUUUCCUUUCCCUAAUACAAAAGUGUUCAAAGGACUAACCGCCUGAGAAUUCUUUUGUAUCUCCAUUCACAAAGUAUCAAAGGUUUAACAACCUGAGAUCUUUGUCUUAACACAUUGGAGGGUACAUCCUUUGUGGUACAAGUAGAUGGUACAUCUACUUGGGUUUGACUGAGAACAAGAGAUGGUACGUCUCUUGUGGAUCAGUUCUAGUGUAGGGUAUAUCCACUAGGUUCAAAGAGAACAAGGAAGGAUACAUCCCUUGUGGAUCUUUGCUUGUAAAAGAAUUUUUACAAGGUUGAAAGAAAGCUCAAGGACCGCAGGUCGCUUGGGGACUGGAUGUAGACACAAGUUGUUGCCGAACCAGUAUAAAAACUCGUGUGUGUUUGUUUCCUUCUUCCCUACUCUUUUACUUUCCGCUGUGCAUUUAAUUUUCGCUUUUACUUUUUGUUAAGUUUCUCUUCUACUCCUCAUUCUCUUAACAAUUUAGUAAAAGCCUUAAAAGAAUAAUUUUUUAAUUGGUAAAAGUUUAAAAAUAAUUAAUUCAAUCUCCCUUCUUAAUUAUUUUGAGACCACUCGAUCCAAGAUAUUAUAAUGUAUAUCAGCCUUUUAUAGCUAGUGGUACAUGCCAGGAUAACUGCCCUGCCUAAUUCUGUUGUAACUAUUAAUUCUUAUCAUCACGUGCUUUAUUAUUAUUUCAUGUACAAGCUUUUAUUCCCUCCCGGUAAACCCGUCACGUGAUAGUCACGUAAGUGCAGAGGCACUUUCUUGGCACGCACAGGUCUCGUGCUGCUGCUAACAUUAAACUUCAUAAAUGACUUUAAUGACUAAUAAAGAUAUUGACGCACAAUGACUAACAAGACGGUUUUUGGCCUGAGAAAAUGAAGUAAGUUUUUCACACUGUGGGAAACAAAAUUUACACCGUUAGAUAUAUUGCUUUUUAAAUCAAAGGCUGAAAUUAUUUGCUCUUUUUUCCUUUUUUUCAUUUUUUCUCUCGUUCACAAACUAAGUGUAUAAUAACAUAUUAAAUGUUCAUAAAUAAUUUUUCUAAAACAAAGAAAAAUAAGAGAUUAAAAAUGAUAAAAAAAUUAUAAAUAUAAUAAAUAUUUGAUUUAAUAAAAAGAUAAAAAUGAAAGGUGUCAUAAAUGUUUUAGAUGAGCAAGGAUCACUAAUUGAAACAAAUUCAACUUAAAAAAUUAAGUCUACAAGUUUAAAGUUUGGAAACCAAAUGGUAUAAUAUUUAGAGGACAAGUCAAUGUCAAACUGAGAAUCAACUCUGUUUCCACAGCUUAGCCAACUUAUCCAACGAAGCACGUGAUGUUCCGCCUUCAGCCAUUGCUUCCGCAGCACUCAUUUUCAUCUUGAAAAUCCUCUGACGAAUCUCUUUCCCUUUGUCUGAUUCCAUGAGUUCCCUAACUCGGUCCCCCAACUCAGUCGAACUCACGAACCCAUCCUUGUUCUCUUUCACCGCCAAAGCCACCUUCAUUUCCUUCACCAUAACCAUCCUGUUCAUCUUCUGCUCCGCGUAGAGAGGCCACGCCACCAUCGGCACCCCUUCACACACCGCUUCCAACACCGAGUUCCAACCGCAGUGAGUCACGAACCCACCCACCGAGUCGUGACUCAGAAUCGCCGCCUGUGGGGCCCAGUCCCUCACCACCAUUCCCUUCUCCUUGGUCCUCUCCAAAAACCCUUCUGGCAACAACUCGUCCAGACUCAGUUCCUCCGCCGAGUCAUCAGCACCACCCAACUCGGUUCUCACAACCCACAAGAACCUUUGCUCACUCUUCUCCAACCCAAUAGCUAUCUCCUUCAACUGAGCCCUCGAGAACCUUCCCAUGCUUCCGAAACACAGCAACACGACGCUCUGACUCGGUUGCAAGUUUAGCCAACUCAGACACCCUUUGUCUUCUUCUCCAUACGGUGCAGAAAUCACGGGUCCGACACAAAACAAGGGUGGUGGUACUGUCGCAUCCUCACUUAACGCUCUGAUGGCUUCUUCUUCAAUGGCUUCAAAUGUGUUUACUAUAAUCCCGGCACCACCCAUCAUGGUUUCCGCUAUCUGAAGGAAGACUUGGCAAACGUAACUCAAAGGGUCUUUGCAUUCGUUUGGAAAAUCAUCGGCUGUAAUUGUGGGUAAUCCAGGGAUUUGGAUUUGCAAAGGUUGGUCUUUGUCCUUUUUUUCUAUAAGGACUUGGUUAAUGGGGGGGUAGUAAAGGAGUAAAGCGAGAGGGGAGGCGCCGGAAGUGUAGUAGAAGUAAGUGGGGACGUUGUUGUUGAGAUUUUCAGUGAGGGCUUUGGGGUCGUUGAAGUUCAUGAAGUCCAUGACGAUGGCUUUGAGGUUCGAAGCUUUGGCGAGGGUUUGGAGUGCAACGGCGAUGUUUUGCGUGCUGUGGCGGGUGAGUUCGAGGGAGAGGAGGUGAGGGGGGAGGAAGGGGGUGUUGAAGGGGAGUGCGGCGAGGGGAACGCGGUGGAACGUGAUGGAGGGAGUGGUGGCGGUGACGGUGGCGAUGUAUUGAGCAUUAG